Molecule: non-coding RNA, 522 nt
Organism: Cinara cedri
Lineage: Eukaryota; Metazoa; Arthropoda; Insecta; Hemiptera; Aphididae
Source: the annotation of a GenBank genome assembly
AGCACGUAUGACUAUCUUGUUUUAACAAUAUUUGUAAAAUAUAUUUAUGAUAUUCAUCAGUUUAUCAAAAUGUACGGUUAAUAAUUAAUUAGUUCUUAUGGUCACACUGGGUAAAACUUAGGACGUCCAUUUUAAUUUUAUGAUCGAAAAAUACAAUAUUUAGUGGAAAAACUGGACUCACCAUGGAUUAUAAGUGUCUUGAGUAGUAUAAAAGUGCAUUAUUUCUUUGUAUUGGUUAUUGAAACUAAAAUGGACCAACUAAACUAAACUGGUUCAAGGUAAAAAUAUUUCGAAUCGUUAUUUGGCCGCUUAAGGCACUCCAGAACUCGAACACGCGUCUUACUCACCUGACUUGGCACCCUGCGAUUUUUACUUGUUUCCGAAGAUAAAGUCUGCCUUAAAAGGAAUCCGGUUUGAGUCGAUGGAAGAGGUGAAACAAAAAUCGGCGGAACUCCUGAAUGGUCUUAUGAAAACAGACUUCUAGCACUGGACCUCGAGCAACGGAAGAAACGAAUGAAACGG